AACCUUUUUAAAGCGAAUCAGUAUAUUACCUGCGUGUGCGUGCGACUGCCGCAACUAUUAACCAAUCAAACUACAAUAAACACAACAUGUAUAUGCGCAGUUUAAGAAAAUAAUUCCUCGACACAGUUAGACGUACUUUUAUGCGUACUUUGACAGUGAUAUUUUAAAAUGAAUUUCGUUGUGACAUUGUUGAACAUAUUUGUUUUGGGUAAGUUCAAUUAUUUUUAUAACUUAUACAAAGAAGGGAAACAAGUAAAAUAUGUAUGUACUAUAAAUAAGAAGAUGUGGUAUGAGUGCCAAUGAGACAACUCCCCAUAUAAGUAACAAUUAUAGAUAAAGAUUUGUAAGGGUUCCGCGGAACCCAAUGUCUCGCCUACUUUUGCUGUUAAUCACACACUCAUCAAAAAUGAUGAAAAAAAAUCAAUAAAUUAUCUCUCGAUACUAUCUUUGAUUGUCAGAAGCUUCUGUCCAUUUGGUAAAAAUCCAGGCUAGUUUAAGAAUCUUAAAAAUGUUUAAAUACUUACUGCAGACUGUAUGUAAUGUUAACUGGAGAAAAACUAAGUCCAUUAUAAGUAAAAACAGGAAAAAUGGAAUUUUAUUUUUACAAAUUUACUUCUGGAUACUAUCUUCUGAUCAUGAAACAAGCUUUGGCCAAGUUUUGUACAUUUCCAGGAUAGUUUAAGAAGUUAUUAAAUUUUUAAAAACUUUUAAGCCACAAGUGAUGUACUGUUUCCUGCAGAAAAAAACUAAGUCCAUUUUAUAAUAAAAUACGGACGGAAUUUUUUUUUUACAAAAUUUACUUCUGGAUACUAUCUUAUGAACAUAAACAAGCUUCUGUCCAAGUUUCGUACAAUUCAAGGAUAGUUUAAGAAAGCUAUUAAAAUUUCAAAACUUUAACCACAGAGUGAAUAUUUGUGGACCGCCGACGACGACGGAUGUAGGAUGUAUGUUCGCUUUUUCGACUAAAGUCGAAGGCUCGACAAAAAUACGGCCUUGAUCACGGAGCCUUGGCUCACAUUGAGCAGCAAGCUAAAAAAGGACUCGAAAUGCAAAACAUUUCAAACAAGAAAACCAACGGUAUAAUCUAUAUAAAAAUGAGAAACGAAAACACCUAUGAACACACCAACACACCACAAUCACUGAACACUGAAAAGGCUCCUAACUGCAUGUAUGAGGGUCUGGAUGGGGGGGGGGGGGGGGGUCGUUAUUCUGUAACAUUUAAUUUCCCCUUUUUUCUCCAAUCUUUCAAAAAUAACCCUUUUUUCUAAUUCAAAAAUAACCCCUUUUUCUCUAAUUCAUUUUUUUUUGCCCUUUAUUCUCUAUCUUCAUUUUAGGGCUUAUUCUUAAUCAUUUACCAUCCAACCCGAUGUAUCUCAGUAUAUUUGUUUCAAUAUUGUUAACAAUAUAUUGUAGGAAAUAACCACUGAAUGUACAUGAGAGAAUAUAAACUUGUUUUUUAAACGUAGUCAUAAUGAGCCUUCAUCGUAAACUAAGAAGCCACCCACAAAUCCAAGACCUCAAGAAAAACAAAACAAACAUUAUCUGCUUCAUCUUAAAUAAUACUUUAUACAUUCGUUUAUUAAAAAAAUCACUCAUUACUUUAUUUUGAUUCACAUCUGCAAUAAAAAUUAAAUAUCAUAAAUGCAUGAAACUAUGAGUAAACAAGAUAAUCAAAAUUUCAAACGUAACUUUCACAUCUUGUUCGCCAAAGUUCAAGUAGCUUGAGCUUUUCCACGUGAAAUAAAUCAACGUAAAUAUGUGAAUAAAUACAUGUUUUAAGGAUCUACAUGGCACAGAAUGACAUUGUGGUUAUUGUGGGUUUCUAAUGAUAACAUUAUAUAUUCUAGCGGGACGGUGCAGUGUAGGCGAUUUGGUGUCACAGUAGCAUGGGUUCAAAUCCCGGCGAGGGAAGAACCAAAAAUUUGCAAAAGCAAAUUUACAGAUCUAUAACAUUGUUGGGUUAUGUUAACGGUUGUAUAUUAUUUGUAACAGCCAUGUAUACAUCAUUGAUGGUGAUCCGAUGGAUCAUCUGUUGAGUUGUCACUGCAGACGUACUUAUGAUAUAAUUAUUUUCUGUGACUGUAUCUUAAUUAAUGUGUAGGAUCUUACUAUAGAUAAUUUAUGAUUGUACAAUAAAUCUUCAUGCCUUAAUAUCAUGUACUGUAGUACGCGCUAGUUAAAACUGACGUGGAAAGGUAAACAUGGCAGCGAAAGCUAUUUUUUGAGAGCCGGUGGCGUGUGUCAGCGGACGGCUGCAGUGCAGGCGAUUUGGUGUACGAUAUCACAGUAGAUGGGUUCGAAUCCCGGAGGGAAGAACAAAUUUGCGAAGAAAUUUACGACUUAAAUUGUUGGGUUGAUGUUUAGACGAGUUGUAUAUAUAUUAUUACACAGCCAUGUAUCACCAUCAUUGAGGCGAUCGAUGGUACAUCUGUUGUGGGUUGUAUGACUCAGACGUACUUAUAAUAUAAUUAUUUUCUGUGACUGUAUCUUACUUAAUGUGUGAUCCUUUACUAAGAAAUUUAGCUGAUUGUAAAAUAAAUUCAUGCUUAUAUAGAUGUAUGUAGUACGCCGCUAGAUAAAACUGACGUGAAAGGUAACAAUGGCCAAGCGAAAGCUCUUUUUUGAGAGCCAGGUGGUCGGUGGUCUAGCGGGCGCUGCGUGCAGCGAUUUGGUGUACGAUAUCACAGUAGCAUGGGUUCGAAUCCCGGCGAGGAAGAACCAAAUUUCGAAAGCAAUUUACAGAUCUAACAUUGUUGGGUUGAUGUUUAGACGACUGUAUAUACAUUAAUGUACACACCAUGUUACAUCAUUGAUGCGAUCCGAUGAUACAUUGUUGAGGGUUGCAUGACUCAGACGUACUUAUGAAUAUAAUUUUCUGUGACUGUAUCUUACAUUAAUUUGUAGGAUCCUUUACUAUAGAUAAUUCAGCUGAUCUGUAACAAUAACAUCUUCAUGCCUCAUAUAUCAUGUACUGUAGUACGCCGCUAGAUUAAAAACUGACGUGGAAAGGUAACACAUGGCCAGCGAAAGCUCUUUUUUGAGAGCCCAAUAAUUAAGAAGUAAUAAGAUAGAUAUAAGAUGCAAUAUGAGUGUCAAUAAGACAACAAGCCUUACUUGGAGAGAAGCCUUACCUGGAGAGACUAUUCAUAACUUUCAUCAUUAGCAGUAAACAAUCAAUCAAUCAAAAAAGUCCCAAUUAUAAAAGGGACUAUGUGAUAAAAGUUAAUAAGGCAGCAACCUGAUUUUUUUCAAAUACGUUUAGAUUUUAAUACAAAAUAAAAACAAUACUUUAUAUACGUCAUGCGUCCGAAGCACUUCUCUAGAUUUACCUUCAAAUGGAACGCUCACAGACGAAUACCGGUAUAUCAAAGCCAAGAAUGUAUGAUUUCAAAAUUGAUAAGCGGACAAAUUAAUUGGUAAAAUUCGUUUCUAGGCUAAUAAUAUAUUAAGUUUGGUGGACUCUGUACAAUGCAAUGUCCUAACAGUGUCACAGAUUCAGGACACCUUAAAGCUUGCAAUCUUAUGAAAAAGGAACUCGGAAUUUGUUUUAUAAAGCUUGGCAUGUGGUAAUGAAAGUUAUCACACCUCUUGUGACAUUAACUUUUUAUGAACUUAUUUAUUAAACUGUUCACACGAUCUCUCAUACAUAUUUUAUCCAUAGUUUGAUAAAUUCGUUCAAUAGAAGACAUGUUUCCAUUUGUAGUGAUCUUCAUUGUAAGCUGUGUCAAUGGACUGGACUUUGCAUCCUUUGACAAAACAGCCCAUGCCUACUGCGCAAGUAGUCAUUCAAAUGGUCACGUGUUUGUUUUAAGAUUGUGAGAAAAUUACAAAGGAUUGCAAAGCAAUAUGUACAGCGGCAAAAGAUGCAACAGUUGGCACAAUUUCCAAUAAGAAAGACUC
This 3900-nucleotide long non-coding RNA is filed under the name Mytilus galloprovincialis (Mediterranean mussel). The record is from RNAcentral. Lineage: Eukaryota; Metazoa; Mollusca; Bivalvia; Mytilida; Mytilidae.